AAAGGUUGACCUCGGAUCAG
Molecule: ribosomal RNA, 20 nt
Filed under: Colletotrichum musae
Lineage: Eukaryota; Fungi; Ascomycota; Sordariomycetes; Glomerellales; Glomerellaceae
Description: partial 28S ribosomal RNA
Source: RNAcentral